RNAcentral lists this ribosomal RNA (301 nucleotides) under uncultured bacterium. RNAcentral describes it as "partial 16S ribosomal RNA". It matches the Rfam family "Bacterial small subunit ribosomal RNA", at positions 509 to 809 of the family's 1533-position model. The record is from RNAcentral.
CAGUAGCCGCGGUAAUACGAAGGGUGCAAGCGUUAAUCGGAAUUACUGGGCGUAAAGCGUGCGUAGGCGGUGAGUUAAGUCUGCUGUGAAAUCCCCGGGCUCAACUUGGGACCUGCAUUUGUGACUGUAUAGCUAGAGUACGGUAGAGGGGGAUGGAAUUCCGCGUGUAGCAGUGAAAUGCGUAGAUAUGCGGAGGAACACCGAUGGCGAAGGCAAUCCCCUGGACCUGUACUGACGCUCAUGCACGAAAGCGUGGGGAGCAAACAGGAUUAGAUACCCCUGUAGUCCCUGUCUCUUAUAU